RNAcentral lists this long non-coding RNA (608 nucleotides) under Mus spicilegus (steppe mouse). RNAcentral describes it as "lncRNA (ENSMSIG00000016590.1)". Lineage: Eukaryota; Metazoa; Chordata; Mammalia; Rodentia; Muridae. The record is from RNAcentral.
CUACUGAGCAUUACGAAAGGAUGCUGAGUCCCCGCGCUGGCUCCCUGCACUGGAUGUCCAACUUCUCCAUUCAGUCCCAAUGGUGCUAUCAUGAUACGGCCCUCGUCCCUUUGUGCGUGCUUGCAUGUGCUUACCCAAUGGAGUGUGUGUGCAGGCAAGUGCACACAGAGGCCAAGGAUGGGGUGUUUUAAGGCCAUCAGGCAAGGAUCAACUGCCAAGCAUCUGACAUGGAGAAGCCAAUCUGCCGCCUAUUGUAGUCUCCCCUCCCCCAGCCUGAAACCUGCUUGCUCAGGGGUGGAGCUUUCUGCUCAUUCGUUCUGCCACGCCCACUGCUGGAACCUGCGGAGCCACACACGUGCACCUUUCUACUGGACCAGAGAUUAUUCGGCGGGAAUCGGGUCCCCUCCCCCUUCCUUCAUAACUAGUGUCGCAACAAUAAAAUUUGAGCUUUGAUCAGAAUAACUGUCUUGGCUACAUUUCUUUCUCUCGCCACCUAGCCCCUCUUCUCUUCCAGGUUUCCAAAAUGCCUUUCCAGGCUAGAACCCAGGUUGUGGUCUGCUGGCCGGACACAACAGCCUAUCAUAAUUCCAUGGCUUUCUCGUCUGAAA